This 478-nucleotide long non-coding RNA is filed under the name Homo sapiens (human). RNAcentral's name for it is "HSALNT0320515". Lineage: Eukaryota; Metazoa; Chordata; Mammalia; Primates; Hominidae. The record is from RNAcentral.
UAGAGAAUGCUGCCGGGACUGACCCAUGUCUUUUCUGAAUCACCUCUGACAUAUGACCAGGAAUACAACAUGUUUAAGACCACAGAACAUCUGCAUAGGCUGUAAAUUUCGUUGAAUGAUGGAUGCAAAGAUGGAAGACAGAUGGAUAGAGGAAAAGACAGAAUCAGAUACUGGAUGAGUUAGUACUGCUGCCUGUGCUUCAGAGCUGUCUUAUUACCACAAGGCCGGCAAGCAUCAAUGUCCCCACAUCCCCCUCUGCCUCCCCCUGAAAUGUACCGAUUUAUAUGAAAAUUAAGAUUACAAAUUAAAGCCUGGCUAUCCUGGAGUUUUCCAGUUCAUCAGCCAUCCAAUAAAAAUGAUGUCAAGCCUGUAUGCAUAAUUCCCGGAAGAUUACUUUCGUCCUUACAGCUAAGCCCUGUCCCUGAUAUGAAAGAUCUCUAUCCACUUUUAUUGAAAUAAAGAACUAACAUCAUAAUCC